RNAcentral lists this long non-coding RNA (478 nucleotides) under Selaginella moellendorffii. RNAcentral's name for it is "long non-coding RNA (SMOE_LNC000611)". Lineage: Eukaryota; Viridiplantae; Streptophyta; Lycopodiopsida; Selaginellales; Selaginellaceae. The record is from RNAcentral.
UUGACUGGAACAAUCCCAGGCGAGCUCUCGAAGCUCUCGCAUCUCCAGCUGCUGGUUCUCACGGGGAAUCGUUUUAGUGGCGCCAUACCUCCAGAGCUUGGAAACUGGUCGAACAUCAGAGAGAUAUGGCUCGACAGCAAUAACUUGACUGGAACAAUCCCAGGCGAGCUCUCGAAGCUCUCGCAUCUCCAGAAGCUGGUUCUCACGGGGAAUCGUUUUAGUGGCGCCAUACCUCCGGAGCUUGGAAACUGGUCGAACAUCAGAGAGAUAUGGCUCGACAGCAAUAACUUGACUGGAACAAUCCCAGGCGAGCUCUCGAAGCUCUCGCAUCUCCAGAUGCUGGUUCUCACGGGGAAUCGGUUUAGUGGCACCAUACCUCCGGAGCUUGGAAACUGGUCGAACAUCAGAGAGAUAUGGCUCGGCAGCAAUAACUUGACUGGAACAAUCCCAGGCGAGCUCUCGAAGCUCUCGCAUCUCC